RNAcentral lists this ribosomal RNA (253 nucleotides) under uncultured bacterium. Its description in RNAcentral is "partial 16S ribosomal RNA". It matches the Rfam family "Bacterial small subunit ribosomal RNA", at positions 524 to 776 of the family's 1533-position model. The record is from RNAcentral.
UACGAAGGGGGCUAGCGUUGUUCGGAAUUACUGGGCGUAAAGCGCGCGCAGGCGGUCUUCCAAGUCAGUGGUGAAAGCCCGGAGCUCAACUCCGGAACUGCCAUUGAAACUGUUAGACUUGAGGAUGAGAGAGGUGAGUGGAAUUCCCAGUGUAGAGGUGAAAUGCGUAGAGAUCGGGAGGAACACCAGAGGCGAAGGCGGCGACCUGGACAGUUACUGACACUCAACUACGAAAGCGUGGGGAGCAAACAGG